Molecule: ribosomal RNA, 255 nt
Filed under: uncultured bacterium
Lineage: Bacteria
Description: partial 16S ribosomal RNA
Rfam family: Bacterial small subunit ribosomal RNA
Source: RNAcentral
ACGAACGCUGGCGGCGUGCCUUACACAUGCAAGUCGAACGGUAACGCGGGGCAACCUGGCGACGAGUGGCGAACGGGUGAGUAAUGCAUCGGAACGUGCCCAGUAGUGGGGGAUAGCCCGGCGAAAGCCGGAUUAAUACCGCAUACGACCUACGGGUGAAAGCGGGGGACCGCAAGGCCUCGCGCUAUUGGAGCGGCCGAUGUCGGAUUAGCUAGUUGGUGGGGUAAGGCCUACCAAGGCGACGAUCCGUAGCUG